RNAcentral lists this transfer RNA (72 nucleotides) under Bos taurus (domestic cattle). It matches the Rfam family "tRNA". From Rfam's summary of the family: Transfer RNA (tRNA) molecules are approximately 80 nucleotides in length. Lineage: Eukaryota; Metazoa; Chordata; Mammalia; Artiodactyla; Bovidae. The record is from Rfam by way of RNAcentral. RNAcentral also lists the same sequence under 3 other names.
UCCCUGGUGGCUCAGAUGGUAAAGCGUCUGCCUGUAAUGCAGGAGACCUGGGUUCAAUCCCUGGGUUGUGAA